Molecule: ribosomal RNA, 358 nt
Filed under: uncultured Synergistaceae bacterium
Lineage: Bacteria; Thermotogati; Synergistota; Synergistia; Synergistales; Synergistaceae
Description: bacterial SSU rRNA
Rfam family: Bacterial small subunit ribosomal RNA
Source: RNAcentral
GACACAGGUGCUGCAUGGUCUGUCGUCAGCUCGUGUCGUGAGAUGUUGGGUUAAGUCCCGCAACGAGCGCAACCCCUGCAUUCAGUUCGCCUAUCGGGUAAUGCCGGGCACUCUGGAAGGACUGCCAUCGACAAGAUGGAGGAAGGUGGGGAGUGACGUCAAGUCAUCAUGGCCCUUAUGUCCAGGGCGACACACGUGCUACAAUGGCCGGCACAACGGGAAGCGAGUUCGCGAGGACGAGCGGAUCCCUUAAAGACCGGUCGCAGUUCGGAUUGAAGUCUGCAACUCGACUUCAUGAAGCUGGAAUCGCUAGUAAUCGUGGAUCAGCCAAGCCGCGGUGAAUACGUUCCCGGGCCUU